This 253-nucleotide ribosomal RNA is filed under the name uncultured bacterium. Its description in RNAcentral is "partial 16S ribosomal RNA". It matches the Rfam family "Bacterial small subunit ribosomal RNA", at positions 524 to 776 of the family's 1533-position model. The record is from RNAcentral.
GACGUAGGGCGCAAGCGUUGUCCGGAUUUAUUGGGCGUAAAGAGCUCGUAGGCGGCCUGUCGCGUCGACCGUGAAAACCCGCAGCUCAACUGCGGGCUUGCGGUCGAUACGGGCAGGCUGGAGUUCGGUAGGGGAGACUGGAAUUCCUGGUGUAGCGGUGAAAUGCGCAGAUAUCAGGAGGAACACCGGUGGCGAAGGCGGGUCUCUGGGCCGAUACUGACACUGAGGAGCGAAAGCGUGGGGAGCGAACAGG